AACGAACGCUGGCGGCAGGCCUAACACAUGCAAGUCGAACGCCGUAGCAAUACGGAGUGGCAGACGGGUGAGUAACACGUGGGAACGUACCUUUCGGUUCGGAAUAACUCAGGGAAACUUGAGCUAAUACCGGAUACGUGCGAGAGCAGAAAGAUUUAUCGCCGAAAGAUCGGCCCGCGUCCGAUUAGCUAGUUGGUGAGGUAAUGGCUCACCAAGGCGACGAUCGGUAGCUGGUCUGAGAGGAUGAUCAGCCACACUGGGACGUGAGACACGGCCCAGACUCCUACGGGAGGCAGCAGUGGGGAAGUAUUGGACAAUGGGCGGCAAGCCUGAUCCAGCCAUGCCGCGUGAGUGAUGACGGCCCGUACGGGUUGGUUAAAGACUCUUUCGUCCACGGGACGGAUAAUAGACGGUACC
RNAcentral lists this ribosomal RNA (417 nucleotides) under uncultured bacterium. Its description in RNAcentral is "bacterial SSU rRNA". It matches the Rfam family "Bacterial small subunit ribosomal RNA", at positions 29 to 479 of the family's 1533-position model. The record is from RNAcentral.